GCGCGUGAGCCGCAGCAAAACUCGACGGCGAGUAGGACGGUGAGGAAGAAGAGGACGAAGCCGAGAAUGUAAGGCAAGUGCGGGGACAGGGAGGAGUGGGAGAGGAGGAGGGAGAGCGAGUGGAAGAUGUAGGACAAGUACGACGAUAUCAAGAAUGUCCCUGAGAAGACCACCAGGAUUAGGAUCAGCAGGUCGAGGGUCGCCGACGGUGAGUGCUUGCAGAGGAGAGGGGUCGUCGAUGACGUGGCGGAUGACGGCGCGGCGGAGGGCAUGGUGGUUGCCGGGACGAGGUGGUGGUGCAUGUUAUGCUCCUAUGAUGGUGGUGUUUGUUGUUGUGGCCUUGUGGGUGGGUUUUUGAACUUUUUGGUGGGGGGAUGUGAGGAGGAGGUUGGGCAUCAAAUGGCAAGUGGCGAUGGGUGGGCUACACGCGCCUUCAGUGAGAGUGGUGGGACGAUUUUUUACCUUUUUUUAAAAUUCUUUACUCUUUUCUUUGCUUUCCUUUUCUUUUCGUGAUGGAUUUGACUUGGGAUUUUAAGUUUUAGGUUUCAUACUUAAGAGUAGUAAUUUUGAGGAUGAUCCUCUUCUAUUCUUGCAUUUUUCUUUUUUUCUCAUCCAAGGUCAUAGAAUCAAAUAUUUGACUAUAUUACCCUUAUUUGUUUAUAUUGAUCAUCUUUUGAUAAAUUGAUUACAGGGGUGUAAUAGUCUAAUUAUUAAUCUUGUGUAAGCGCGGUUGUAAUUUUGUGGAUUAAGUUAUCCCGCCGUAGAUGAUAUUAGAUCUCAAACUAAUGGGAUUUUGAUAUCUAAAUUAAGUUCUUCAAGAAGAAGAUAAAAUCAGAGAUGGUGAUGUGGAAAAUUUAAUAAGUAGAAGUUUUCUUUAGAUUUUGUUUUUCUUUUGAAAAAAAAAUCAUUAAAUAAGGAAAAAAAAUUUACGGGAGAGAUAGAAGCUAGAUUAUAAGGUAAAUUGAGAUAUAAAAUUCCUUUUUUUAAUUUUAAUUUUAUCCUUCUUUUUGUUAGAAUCACCUAAUAGCAAUCUAAUCCCGGCCAGCCAUAUACCAACCUCACUAUUUUGACAAUGCGAACUUGUGCUUUAGCUUAAUUAUGAGAUUAAGAAUAUUCUGAAGUUAUAUUAGAGAAACCUCUAAAGUAUGUUAUUGAGGGUUAUCUUACUUAUUUUCAUUCUUUAACUGUAAACGAGUAGAACCAUUAAAUGUGAUUAGCACUGCUCCAAUGAAGAACAAGUCUUUUACAAGUUUUAUUGAUGCUUAGCCCUGGCACUUGAGUUGAAACAGAUUCAAAACUAUUGAUGAAGUUUUGCAGAUCACAUCAUAAAGAAACCAAUACAUUCUUCGUUGGCAUUGACUAAUCAUUAUAGACUUCAAUCAACGUUUUGCAGAACAGAUAAUCAGUAACAACCAAUCUGAAUACCACCACAAUGCAAUCGCAAUACACAUCAUAAAAUGUCAAACAACAAAACCAUCAUCAAGACAAUCAAUCAAUUAAACUGCCUUGCAAUCAACAAAUUCCUCAAUUCACUAUAAUCAUCACAUAAAUUCAGCAAUUUCAGAUUCAACAACAAAAUUUAAGAAGGAAAAAAAAAAACACCAUUUUCACAAAAACUAAUUAGAUCACCAUCAAAUGAACAAAAAAAGGGAAAAGGAACUCACUUUUUAUGCUUUCUGCCACGCUUAGGGCCCCAGCCUUGGAGUUUGGCAACGGGGCACCCACAUUUGGCCCGAAACAACAAAACGGCCCGCCCAUUAGACGGCGCCAUCUUACGCAACUCGGCGCGAAGGCACUCGUAGUCAGGAUUCCCUUCGCUGCCGCCCUUCCAGGGCAAUUUAUCAAUAACAUCAUCCGAUCUCACGCACUCAUCGGUCUGGAGCUGCAAAUCGAAUUCCAUAGCCUUCUUAAGGCCCUUGCAAUUAGGGUUGUGGCAUUUCCUGGCGCGUGAGCCGCAGCAAAACUCGACGGCGAGUAGGACGGUGAGGAAGAAGAGGACGAAGCCGAGAAUGUAAGGCAAGUGCGGGGACAGGGAGGAGUGGGAGAGGAGGAGGGAGAGCGAGUGGAAGAUGUAGGACAAGUACGACGAUAUCAAGAAUGUCCCUGAGAAGACCACCAGGAUUAGGAUCAGCAGGUCGAGGGUCGCCGACGGUGAGUGCUUGCAGAGGAGAGGGGUCGUCGAUGACGUGGCGGAUGACGGCGCGGCGGAGGGCAUGGUGGUUGCCGGGACGAGGUGGUGGUGCAUGUUAUGCUCCUAUGAUGGUGGUGUUUGUUGUUGUGGCCUUGUGGGUGGGUUUUUGAACUUUUUGGUGGGGGGAUGUGAGGAGGAGGUUGGGCAUCAAAUGGCAAGUGGCGAUGGGUGGGCUACACGCGCCUUCAGUGAGAGUGGUGGGACGAUUUUUUACCUUUUUUUAAAAUUCUUUACUCUUUUCUUUGCUUUCCUUUUCUUUUCGUGAUGGAUUUGACUUGGG
This 2471-nucleotide long non-coding RNA is filed under the name Citrus sinensis (sweet orange). RNAcentral describes it as "long non-coding RNA (CSIN_LNC003764)". Lineage: Eukaryota; Viridiplantae; Streptophyta; Magnoliopsida; Sapindales; Rutaceae. The record is from RNAcentral.